Molecule: long non-coding RNA, 538 nt
Organism: Asterias rubens (European starfish)
Lineage: Eukaryota; Metazoa; Echinodermata; Asteroidea; Forcipulatida; Asteriidae
Exons: 3
Source: RefSeq, a predicted model, not a curated record
UUCAUGUUAACUUAACACACUGCUGCUUUUUAUAUCAGAGUUGCAUCCAGUUUCUUCAUACACUGAGUGUCGCCUCCAAAAUCAUUCAACGCUUACCUAAUUUGUCACCGAAUGUUUGAGUAUUGGCAAAUGCUCUAUAGGGGGUCCUUGGUUCUAUUCCAGCUGUCAUCUCAAGGAGGGAUAUCUCAAAGAGAGGAGAACUAUCUACAGUUCAAACAACUGUACAAAAAUGUAAAGAAGACUUGCGGUCAGGAUGUGAAACUUCUCUGUGGUGUGGGUGCCAUGACAACAUCUACAGCUACAUGGUUUCUCUUCUUCCAAUGAGAUUUAUUAUGGUUCCUAAAAGACCCGUUAGCAUAAAGACUCUACCGUUUGAUCAGUAUGCUCCCAGUGUCUUCAGGUAAAGCCAUGUAGUAUUCUCACUUAACAGAGGUAUACCGGCAAGAUUUUUACAAACAAUAGUGGUGGACAGGAAUUAGUGAGAAAGGGCUUAUCGGGUUUUUUCAAUUCGAGGCCCAAUUUUGAAAAAAAAUGCUGG